GGCCAGUGUUCGCCACCGUACGAAGUAGUAUCCCAGUGCAGUCACUCCUGCCUGGAAGCUGAAACACGACCCCAGGCCUAAAGUGGACACCAUCUAGUUUUCAAGAUCCAAUGGGAUUAGUCCCAAAGCAGCAUAGCCUGGCUGAAGAAAUGAAUCUCUUCAUUGUGUUAGAAAACCCCCAAGAGCUGAACGUCAGUCACGUAGGAGAAAUAUUUGGAAAGGAGAAGUUCCCGUCUGUUACUUCUGUUCAAAACCAACAUGUUCCUUUGUUAGGUGUCUCCACACUGCCCCAGCUUGGGAGUGGUGAAAUACAAACCCAGGGAACUUGGGAGGGAUGUUAUCAUAGAUUAUAUUAUCCCAACACAUUCCAAGAUUGAAAGCCCCCUCCCUUCCUCACAGCCAAAAGGCUGAGAAGCUGCUAAACAGAACAGACAUCUUUGCUCUCCAUUUUGCCCUCUGGAGACCUGAAGGUUUUUCCAGAGAGAAACACUUUGCAGUGAGCUUGGCUGGAUGAGGUGCGUGUUGAAGGGGUGCGAAGGGCAAGUCUGGCUGCU
Molecule: long non-coding RNA, 554 nt
Organism: Strigops habroptila (Kakapo)
Lineage: Eukaryota; Metazoa; Chordata; Aves; Psittaciformes; Psittacidae
Exons: 2
Source: RefSeq, a predicted model, not a curated record